CAGCCGCCGCGGUAAUACGGAGGGUGCAAGCGUUAAUCGGAAUUACUGGGCGUAAAGCGCACGCAGGCGGUUUGUUAAGUCAGAUGUGAAAUCCCCGAGCUUAACUUGGGAACCGCAUUGGAAACUGGCAAGCUAGAGUCUUGUAGAGGGGGGUAGAAUUCCAGGUGUAGCGGUGAAAUGCGUAGAGAUCUGGAGGAAUACCGGUGGCGAAGGCGGCCCCCUGGACAAAGACUGACGCUCAGGUGCGAAAGCGUGGGGAGCAAACAGGAUUAGAGACCCCGGUAGUCCCUGUCUCUUAUAA
Molecule: ribosomal RNA, 301 nt
Filed under: uncultured bacterium
Lineage: Bacteria
Description: partial 16S ribosomal RNA
Rfam family: Bacterial small subunit ribosomal RNA
Source: RNAcentral